CAGAGGGUGCAAACGUUGUUCGGAAUUACUGGUCGUAAAGCGAGUGUAGGCGGUUUGGUAAGUCGGAUGUGAAAGCCCCGGGCUCAACCCGGGAAGUGCACUCGAUACUGCCAAGCUAGAGUAUCGGAGAGGUUGGUGGAAUUCUCGGUGUAGAGGUGAAAUUCGUAGAUAUCGAGAGGAACACCGGUGGCGAAGGCGGCCAACUGGACGAAUACUGACGCUGAGACUCGAAAGCGUGGGGAGCAAACAGGAUUAGAUACCCUGGUAGUCCACGCCGUAAACGAUGGGUGCUAGGUGUCGCGGGCUUUGACUCCUGCGGUGCCGUAGCUAACGCAUUAAGCACCCCGCCUGGGAAGUACGGCCGCAAGGCUA
RNAcentral lists this ribosomal RNA (372 nucleotides) under uncultured organism. RNAcentral's name for it is "bacterial SSU rRNA". It matches the Rfam family "Bacterial small subunit ribosomal RNA", at positions 526 to 896 of the family's 1533-position model. The record is from RNAcentral.